GACGAACGCUGGCGGCGUGCUUAACACAUGCCAGUCGAACGGAAAGGCCCUGCUUUUGUGGGGUGCUCGAGUGGCGAACGGGUGAGUAACACGUGAGUAACCUGCCCUUGACUUUUGGAUAACUUCAGGAAACUGGGGCUAAUACCGGAUAGGAGCUCCUGCUGCAUGGUGGGGGUUGGAAAGUUUCGGCGGUUGGGGAUGGACUCGCGGCUUAUCAGCUUGUUGGUGGGGUAGUGGCUUACCAAGGCUUUGACGGGUAGCCGGCCUGAGAGGGUGACCGGCCACAUUGGGACUGAGAUACGGCCAAGACUCCUACGGGAGGCAGCAGUGGGGAAUAUUGCACAAUGGGCGGAAGCCUGAUGCAGCAACGCCGCGUGCGGGAUGACGGCCUUCGGGUUGUAAACCGCUUUCGCCUGUGACGAAGCGUGAGUGACGGUAAUGGGUAAAGAAGCACCGGCUAACUACGUG
This 468-nucleotide ribosomal RNA is filed under the name uncultured bacterium. RNAcentral describes it as "partial 16S ribosomal RNA". It matches the Rfam family "Bacterial small subunit ribosomal RNA", at positions 28 to 507 of the family's 1533-position model. The record is from RNAcentral.